AGUCCUGUCGUUCAGCGGUAAGGACACUCGGCUCUGGCCCGGGAGAUCGGAGGUUCGAAUCCUCCCAGGACUA
RNAcentral lists this transfer RNA (73 nucleotides) under Candidatus Woesearchaeota archaeon. RNAcentral describes it as "tRNA-Gln". It matches the Rfam family "tRNA". Rfam says of the family: Transfer RNA (tRNA) molecules are approximately 80 nucleotides in length. Their secondary structure includes four short double-helical elements and three loops (D, anti-codon, and T loops). Further hydrogen bonds mediate the characteristic L-shaped molecular structure. tRNAs have two regions of fundamental functional importance: the anti-codon, which is responsible for specific mRNA codon recognition, and the 3' end, to which the tRNAs corresponding amino acid is attached (by aminoacyl-tRNA synthetases). tRNAs cope with the degeneracy of the genetic code in two manners: having more than one tRNA (with a specific anti-codon) for a particular amino acid; and 'wobble' base-pairing, i.e. permitting non-standard base-pairing at the 3rd anti-codon position. The record is from RNAcentral. Lineage: Archaea; Nanobdellati; Candidatus Woesearchaeota.